Molecule: long non-coding RNA, 369 nt
Organism: Notothenia coriiceps (black rockcod)
Lineage: Eukaryota; Metazoa; Chordata; Actinopteri; Perciformes; Nototheniidae
Exons: 4
Source: RefSeq, a predicted model, not a curated record
GUUCAGCGUGACGAUGCAGGACUCUAUAGAUGUGAUGUAGCUCUGCUAAGUGGUACAGGAUAUAUUGUGUGGAAUUUAACGGUGUACGGGGAACCUGAAGGAGUCGAUCCACUGUGGUUUUACACACUCUCAGCUGUAAUUGGAUUGCUGUGUGUUUUCACUUCAGCUGUCUGCCUCUUCAGGAAAAGCUGGACUAACACCUCAAACAAGGAGAGCAACAUCCUGAGUCACGUCCAGUUCUGUGUCCAGUUGGGAGGAGAGUCCCUGCAGGUGGCUCCACCUCCACUCCACAGCUGUGCAGUCUACAGGGCGAAUCACGAGCAGAGGGAGUCUUUGCAGAAGCUUCAGAUUCAGUUUAAAGCUGAAUAA